This 368-nucleotide ribosomal RNA is filed under the name Hydromanicus inferior. RNAcentral's name for it is "partial 28S ribosomal RNA". Lineage: Eukaryota; Metazoa; Arthropoda; Insecta; Trichoptera; Hydropsychidae. The record is from RNAcentral.
CGGGGAGAUUCAUUCAUCGCUCUUCCGAGAGUCCGCGGGCGUCGCGCGCGCAUGCGCGCGUCGGGCGUCCGUGGCUCGCGGAGUGCGUGCACUUCUCCCCAAGUAAAACACCGCGACCCGUUGGGGGGUCGAACGCGCCGUGCGGCCGCCCCGGCUCGCGAGCCGGAGCCGCGGCGACGCGGCCCCCCACCGACGGUAUAGAACGAGGUUCGCGUCCGCCGGCGUCCGCGGUGCGACGGCGUCGUCCCCCGUUCGGUCGGCGCGCGUCGAUCGGACGGGACGGCGCGCUCGGUCGCAUCGGCUCGGACGGGACGCGUCCCGGUCGGCGGUGGUUUUGUUUCGGGCACUCACAGGACCCGUCUUGAAAC